UUUCGAAUUUGAAUGCACGCCCAAACAAAGCAAAUCAGCUCAACUAAUCUUGUCUCAACAUCCUGGAUCUGGCAAUCAGCCAACCAACAUUAAAUCGAUACAACCGCAGCAGUACCAACUACUCCAAAUCCAGCAACAGCCCCUCAAAAAAGGACCACAUAGCAAUUACUGCUCAAACGAACAACAGGAGUUUACGAAUGAUGGACACAUCGGAAAACAUUUCAUCGGCACAUUCUGCCUUAAAACAUGUCUGCCACUAUUUUUGAAAAUUUCACUGCCUACACAGUGCUCGUGAUUCCAUUCCAGCAGCAGCAAGCAAUCACUAUUCGAGUGCUUAUCGCCAACAUUUCACAGCAAGCUCAGCAGCAGAACCACCUUCAACCACAACAUCAGAAAAUUAAGAUUUCUUCCAGACCAUGACCAUCAUCCUAAAGGUCGGUAGCAAUAACGUUCAACCGACAGUACAACCUGGUCAGCAACCGCAAUUAGUGCAAUAGAUCCAAGCCAAAUGUAGAAGACCAUUGACCAACUGCAAAAAAAAGAUAGCAACAGCGCAUUCAAACACAGUAGCAGCAGCAUACUAUACUGUACCAUGCGGUGUGCAGGACUUUUUUAUUCAGUUGGUGCGGCAAGAUCGAACACCAACAACAUAAUAUCAUGGUAAUCACCCAGCAAGAGAACGCAGUGAUAAUGGGCCAACAGAAAACACAACAUCAAGAUGCUCGGAAAGGACUUUCUCUUUCGAACAAACAUAAUGGCACGUCAUCUUCAAUCGGCUAACCGUUUGGAAUAAGCGCUCAUCAUCGGUUUCAUGGCAGGGAAGUGAGCAGGCAAAAGAAGGCAUCGUUUUUUCCGCAAGGUCGCUCUGGUCAAAAUUUCAGCGAAUUGCAAGGAAUAAACCACCCGAGGGACAGUACCCGUGCUGAUUCAGGACGAUUUCCCAUACUUUGUACCUUGCUAUUGAAUUUUAAUACCCGAUCGAAACGAUGGCAAGCGCUGCCGAUAACUGGGUCAAAAAGACGACGGAUCAAGAAAUUUCUGCACUCGGUUAGCGAACUGAGUACAUAUCAUCAAGGAUAAGGAUUCA
This is a long non-coding RNA of Topomyia yanbarensis, 1087 nucleotides long. RefSeq lists it as uncharacterized. The record is from RefSeq and is a predicted model, not a curated record. The transcript has 5 exons. NCBI's taxonomy places the organism in Eukaryota, Metazoa, Arthropoda, Insecta, Diptera, Culicidae.